GAUGAACGCUGGCGGCGUGCCUAAUACAUGCAAGUCGAGCGAACGGACGAGAAGCUUGCUUCUCUGAUGUUAGCGGCGGACGGGUGAGUAACACGUGGAUAACCUACCUAUAAGACUGGGAUAACUUCGGGAAACCGGAGCUAAUACCGGAUAAUAUUUUGAACCGCAUGGUUCAAAAGUGAAAGACGGUCUUGCUGUCACUUAUAGAUGGAUCCGCGCUGCAUUAGCUAGUUGGUAAGGUAACGGCUUACCAAGGCAACGAUGCAUAGCCGACCUGAGAGGGUGAUCGGCCACACUGGAACUGAGACACGGUCCAGACUCCUACGGGAGGCAGCAGUAGGGAAUCUUCCGCAAUGGGCGAAAGCCUGACGGAGCAGCGCCGCGUGAGUGAUGAAGGUCUUCGGAUCGUAAAACUCUGUUAUUAGGGAAGAACAUAUGUGUAAGUAACUGUGCACAUCUUGACGGUACCUAAUCAGAAAGCCACGGCUAACUAC
Molecule: ribosomal RNA, 494 nt
Filed under: uncultured bacterium
Lineage: Bacteria
Description: partial 16S ribosomal RNA
Rfam family: Bacterial small subunit ribosomal RNA
Source: RNAcentral